RNAcentral lists this long non-coding RNA (1035 nucleotides) under Nothobranchius furzeri (turquoise killifish). Its description in RNAcentral is "lncRNA (ENSNFUG00015013795.1)". Lineage: Eukaryota; Metazoa; Chordata; Actinopteri; Cyprinodontiformes; Nothobranchiidae. The record is from RNAcentral.
AUGCACACCUUCCCAGAACCCUCCAGCACCACGCCAGGUCCAGCGGUGGUCCAAGGGGCCACACCGCAUCCACGUCCAGCGGCGGUGCCAGAGGAUGCAUCGCAUCCACAUCCAGCGGUGGUCCCAGAGGUCACACCGCAUCCAGUUCCAGCGGUGGUACCAGAGGUUGCACCGCAUCUAGGUCCAGCGGUGGUACCAGAGGUUGCACCGCAUCUAGGUCCAGUGGUGGUCCCACCUCAGUCUGUCCAACAGGCUCUGGCCCAGCCUGUCCAAGAGUCCCCGGUCCAACCUGUCCAGGAGACUCCGCCUGCCCAAGAGGCUCCACCUCCAGUCAAGUCAGCGCCACGUCCGGCGUCUCCAGUCAAGUCAGAGCCACGUCCGGCAUCUCCAGUCAAGUCAGUGCCACGUCCGGCAUCUCCAGUCAAGUCAGUGCCACGUCCGGCAUCUCCAGUUAAGUCAGCACCACUUCUGACUUCUCCAAUCAAGUUGCCCCCUCCAGAGUCUACGUCCCCUCAGCCUUCAGCCUCCACGUCCCCUCAGCCUCCAGUGUCUUUGUCCCCUCUGCCUCCAGAGUCCUCGGCAUCCCCCUCUGCCUACAGAGUCUUCGGUGUCUCCACCAGCUUCGGCAGCAGUCACCGCCGUCCCGGUCCUCGCCCGUCGCCUCCUGUGCCACAGACGCCGGCUCCCCAGACUCCGGAUCCCCCACCUGAGUCUCUGGUCUCCCAAGGUUCCCCAGAUCCACCGCCUCUGUCCCAGGCCCAUCCUGGUUCCCCGUUGCCGGCCUCCCAGACCCCCCGGUCCCUGGUCCCCCGUUGCCGGCCUCCCAGACUUCCCUGGUCCCUGUUCCACCGUUGCCGGCCUCCCAGACUCCCCUGGUCCCUGUUCCACCGUCGCCAGCCUGAAGGACCAUCAGGCUGGUCCCUUGGUCCCUCCUCGCCGGCCACCAGACUCUCCAGGUCCCGGCCUCCCUUGGUCCCUCGUCGCCAGCUUCCCCCCGGACUCUCCUGUGUUUUGGUCCCCCUCGCCUGCCCUUGA